UACGUAGGGUGCAAGCGUUGUCCGGAAUUAUUGGGCGUAAAGAGCUCGUAGGCGGUUUGUUGCGUCGGCUGUGAAAUCCCGAGGCUCAACCUCGGGUCUGCAGUCGAUACGAGCAAACUAGAGUGUUGCAGGGGAGACUGGAAUUCCUGGUGUAGCGGUGAAAUGCGCAGAUAUCAGGAGGAACACCGGUGGCGAAGGCGGGACUCUGGGCCGAUACUGACGCUGAGGAGCGAAAGCGUGGGGAGCAAACAGG
RNAcentral lists this ribosomal RNA (253 nucleotides) under uncultured bacterium. RNAcentral describes it as "partial 16S ribosomal RNA". It matches the Rfam family "Bacterial small subunit ribosomal RNA", at positions 524 to 776 of the family's 1533-position model. The record is from RNAcentral.